This 327-nucleotide unclassified non-coding RNA is filed under the name Hevea brasiliensis (rubber tree). Lineage: Eukaryota; Viridiplantae; Streptophyta; Magnoliopsida; Malpighiales; Euphorbiaceae. The record is from RNAcentral.
AGAAUUGCCACAAAAGCAAAUCAUCCUCCAAUUUAUCCUUAAAAUGGAUCUCAAUGCAAUCUUUUCUCAGUCAUUCAAAGCCUCUCACCUCUCUCUCAUGUUGUUCAGUUUCUUUUACAUUCUUUUCUGAGUGGGGACUUUUGUUAUUUCCUGUGAUUUAGCCUAAUGACACCAUUGUCUUCAGUUCUUUACCAUUAAUAGGGUCGAUACCUUCUGCUGCGGUUGACUUCAUCACCACUGCUACUGCCUCCCGAACGGCCCGUUGGUCCACCUGACCCAUUGCUCCUCUCACUUCUUCGAGAUCGAGAAGGUGGCAUUGGUACUCCG